ACCUUUUUAUGUUAAACAAAAUGAAAAUUUCUUUAAAUUAUACGAAAUAAUUCAUUCUCAGACCUGCUGCUGCUUGGAACAUUGUUGCGUGACUGAAUCGACUGCUGCCGAUAUAUCUGCGCAGCUGAGACAGCCCCGGCAAUGUUCCAAAAACCCCAAAGUCUAUUUUAGGUUGUACAUAACCCUCCCUCCCACCUCGUUCGUUUUGUUUUACAGGCCAACAACAGACGACGACGGCGUCAAAGUCUAAUUAUCAAAGUCAGCUGUUUUUCUACAAAAUAUAAAGUUAUCGAUCCUGGAAAAGAAGGUGAUAUCGUGUACACGGCAUUCGUAUAAAAGGGCGGGAAAAUUUAUGAUUUGAAACAACUUUUGAACUGGAAUAGGCCAUCACACAAACAAGUCGGUUAAACACGCAACAAUGUUAUAUUGGCGCGA
Molecule: unclassified non-coding RNA, 435 nt
Filed under: Daphnia pulex (common water flea)
Lineage: Eukaryota; Metazoa; Arthropoda; Branchiopoda; Diplostraca; Daphniidae
Description: uncharacterized LOC124190742, transcript variant X4
Source: RNAcentral